UACGGGGGGAGCAAGCGUUGUUCGGAUUUACUGGGCGUAAAGGGCGCGUAGGCGGCCAGCACAAGUCAGUUGUGAAAUCUCCGAGCUUAACUCGGAAAGGUCAACUGAUACUGUGCGGCUAGAGUGCGGAAGGGGCAACUGGAAUUCUUGGUGUAGCGGUGAAAUGCGUAGAUAUGACCCGGAACACCGAUUGCGAAGGCAGCCCACUAAGCAACGAUUGACGCUGAGGCACGAAAGCGUGGGGAUCAAACAGG
RNAcentral lists this ribosomal RNA (254 nucleotides) under uncultured bacterium. RNAcentral's name for it is "partial 16S ribosomal RNA". It matches the Rfam family "Bacterial small subunit ribosomal RNA", at positions 524 to 776 of the family's 1533-position model. The record is from RNAcentral.